GAGAUCGCGGCCCACUGCGCAGGCGAGCAACGGCAGCUCUGAGCAGCGGCCUUGGAGCGCAUGCGUAGCUACUGAACGGACCCCGUAAGAGGCUACUGCGCACGCGGGAGGGGAAAUAAACAAAGUAGCGGGGGUUAAGGCGCAAGCGCAGAGCGUAGCCACGGGGGGUUUGUUUGAUUAAACGUUGCGCAAGGGGCGGAGUCUUGCGUAGGCGCACGAAAGCGGUAGGCUUCUCCACCGCCGACUUUCCGUCUCGCUGCACAUCUGUGGAGAAGGAGGAGCUUGUGGUCCGCUGCCUUGAGGUUUGACCUACUUUUCUAGGCUGGGGCCUCCGUAGACCUGAGGGGUAGCUAACUGGGCGCGCCUCAGAGCACGCUUUUCACCUCGGGGAAGAGGCCGGCUGCAGGAAUAGCGAACCAAGGCGGUUCAGUGAUGGAACUGUCACCUGGCUCAGGCACGAAGCUCACUCGGUGACAUUCCUAGUCACUUUCGCAACCCUACCUCACAGGGUUGUUCUGGCGGCUCCCCCCCCCCCGCCCCAGUGUGUGACGCUUUGAGUUGCCCAAACUCCUUGGCUAAAAAGCUGGAUAAAAAUGAAGUAAAUAACGAACAGGGAAAGGGCUGCAAGCUCAUUGGCAGAGUACACGGUUUGUAGGCAUACAGUUCCAUUUCUGACACCGACAGGCUGGGCUGGGAAAGGCGUCUGUCUGAAACCCUGUAGAACCCCAACCCCUCUAUAAAGAAAGUGGACUCCUGGGUUGCUCCUGGAAAAGUCCUGCCCGUUUCCAGUGGGUGAACAAUAAUCUCCAAUGUCGGUAGAUGUGCUUGACUGACGUAUUCCCUUGGUUACUCUGUUUCGCUUUUGAAAAAAUGCCACCUCUCUGGCAGAGCAGGGUGCACCCGAUGCAGGUGAAGCCCGGACAGAGUCUGGUGAGUGAGAGUACAAGAUGGGUGAGGGGAGGAGCCAGGACAGAAUCUGGCAUGUUUUGGACCGAGCUGGUCUUUUGCUAGCUUUUCAGGGUUGCUUACUUGGCAAGAGUACAGCUUUAUAUUUGGACUAGUAACAUAGUGGUCUGUUGACAAACCUUACUGAGGAAAGAUUGCUGCUUUUCUGUACAAUUGUCAUUGCUUUAUUUGCAUAUGUAACACUUUUACAUUGCCCAAAACUAGGUGCUAAUAAUGAAAGGAUAAUACAAAAUCUAGUUUCUUUUUUGAGGAGCAGACACAUAAAAAUUAUCUUAGCGGGAAAAAGUUUAGGUCCCACAUUUUUGCUGUGCCUGCUCUGGUGCCGUUCAGUGAUAAUACAGAAAUUGUACAGGCAAAGCAUUGUUUCUAGGAAAGCUUUACCUACCAAAUUUCUAUGUGGCUGGCUUCUUUUAAUUUUUAGUCAUUAAAAAAAAUUGAAUUGACUACAAAUACUUAGGAUGGUCUAGAAUUUCAUAGGGGUGUGAUUUAAAAUCUGUUUUGUUGUUGCUUUAUUUUAUGUCUUGGCUUUAACAUUUUCAUAUUGUUAAAUAAUAAAUACUUGCAUCCGGUUUGCUUUUUUUUCUAUGCAUCAUUUUAGGCUUCAGAUAGGGUUGAAAGUAAUCUGAUGCGUAGAAACAAGCAACUUCAUCAAAAGAUCAAAAGUUUCUGUGAUGGUGAGGCUUUUUGUCUCAGAAAUAAAAGAAACACCUGUGUUACAAUUGAGAUGAAAUCUGAUUGAUGCUGUUUGCUUUGACUAGCCACUUUCUUUUCUCCACUUGCACUAGAGUUGUUGGUACUUUGGGCAGCUUCUCUGUGUUAGUACCAGACACACCACAUCAUCAAUGACUUCUGUUCCUCACAAGUAUGAGCCUCUUUAAUUCUGAGCUGCUUUAUUCUCUUCUUGGAAAAUGACUCCUCACACCAUAGGGCAAGGAUGGGGAACCUGUGGCUUUCCAGAUAUUGUCGGACUAUAGCUCUCAUCCCUGACCACUAGCCAUGAUGACUGGAGCUGAUGGAAGUUGGAGUUCAGCAAUAUCUGCAGAGGCACAGCUUCCCCAUCCAUAGUAUAGUGAGUUAUGUGACUACCCAUUUCAACUUUCUGCUGAGUUCUUAGUAUGCAAGGAGGAGGAGUAGUGAAAUGUUAUAGGGUGCUGCUGUUGCAUCCAUUGGUCACUAGAUGGCACUCUGCUUAUAGAUUUGUGUUUUAGGACCCUUGCUCUUUCAGGAUCAUAAGGGUGCAAGAGGUGGGGAGAGGCAAAUCUCUCCAUUUUGCAACCUUCCCCACCCCAGAGGUGGCAUGACCAGUCCUCCAAAAGCUGCAGCAUUGACCUUGGCAGGCCACAGAUGCAUUUUUGGUGAAAUAGUAGAACUCAUGGACAUCCAAUGAAACUGAAUGUUGGGAGAUUCAGGGCAGAUAAAAUAACACUUCUUCAUGCAAGUGCAUAGUUAAACUAUAGAAUUUGCUCCUAUAGGAGGCUGUGUUGGCCACCAACUUGGAUGCCUUUAAAGGAGGAUUAGACAAAUUUAUGGAGGAUAAUGUUGGAGGAAAUGGACAUGAAGGCAUUAAUUUAUUUCAUGGCCACAAAUCACCCCAUGUCUGAGAUAAGCCAACAGAUGCAAGGUCAGCAAAGCCGGUUGCUAUGGCCCAGUGUCGUGUGUGUGUGUAAUUAAGGCAUGUUAGCUCAUCAGUUGAUGAGUCUGUGUCUAUGUCUUGAAUUGCUGGAACAACAUAGAUAUUUUCUACUUGUAUGUAUCUGUAUCUGCAAAGCUUACAAGCUGCAUGCAUAUGUCAACAUCUGGAACUGUAUUACUGAGGCCUGAUCUUUUGCAGCAGUAAACUGUUUUGGACCUU
This 2818-nucleotide long non-coding RNA is filed under the name Podarcis lilfordi (Lilford's wall lizard). The record is from RNAcentral. Lineage: Eukaryota; Metazoa; Chordata; Lepidosauria; Squamata; Lacertidae.